Molecule: ribosomal RNA, 467 nt
Filed under: uncultured bacterium
Lineage: Bacteria
Description: bacterial SSU rRNA
Rfam family: Bacterial small subunit ribosomal RNA
Source: RNAcentral
GACGAACGCUGGCGGCGUGCCUAACACAUGCAAGUCGUACGGGACCGGGGGCAACUCCGGUUCAGUGGCAGACGGGUGCGUAACACGUGAGGAACUUGUCCGGUGGCGGGGGAUAGCCGGCCCAACGGCCGGGUAAUACCGCAUACGCUCGUUCGGGGGCAUCCCUGGGCGAGGAAAGCAGCCGCAAGGUUGCGCCGACGGAGGGCCUCGCGACCUAUCAGCUUGUUGGCGGGGUAACGGCCCACCAAGGCGACGACGGGUAGCUGGUCUGAGAGGAUGAUCAGCCACAUUGGGACUGAGACACGGCCCAGACUCCUACGGGAGGCAGCAGUGGGGAAUAUUGCGCAAUGGCCGCAAGGCUGACGCAGCGACGCCGCGUGUGGGAUGACGGUCUUCGGAUUGUAAACCACUGUCGAAGGGGGAACGAAUACAGGGCUUCGAUAAGGAGACCCUGGGUGACGGUACCU